This 219-nucleotide unclassified non-coding RNA is filed under the name uncultured Gammaproteobacteria bacterium. RNAcentral's name for it is "contains 16S-23S intergenic spacer region". The record is from RNAcentral. Lineage: Bacteria; Pseudomonadati; Pseudomonadota; Gammaproteobacteria.
UCCGGUUUGUCACCGGCAGUCUCCCUAGAGUGCCCUUGCGUAGCAACUAGGGACAAGGGUUGCGCUCGUUGCGGGACUUAACCCAACAUCUCACGACACGAGCUGACGACAGCCAUGCAGCACCUGUGUUCCGAUUCCCUUUCGGGCACCCCCACCUCUCAGCAGGGUUCCGGACAUGUCAAGGGUAGGUAAGGUGGGGAUGACGUCCCAAGGUUGGUU